This 119-nucleotide ribosomal RNA is filed under the name Propithecus coquereli (Coquerel's sifaka). Lineage: Eukaryota; Metazoa; Chordata; Mammalia; Primates; Indriidae. The record is from RNAcentral.
AUCUAUGGCUAUAUCACUCUGAAUGUGCCUGAUUGCACCUGAUCUUGGAAGGUAAGCAGGGUUGGGCCUGGUUAGUACGUGGAUGGGAGACUGCUUGGGAAUACUGGAAGCUAUGGGCU